This 497-nucleotide ribosomal RNA is filed under the name Cryptosporidium sp. Its description in RNAcentral is "SSU rRNA". It matches the Rfam family "Eukaryotic small subunit ribosomal RNA", at positions 557 to 1089 of the family's 1831-position model. Lineage: Eukaryota; Apicomplexa; Conoidasida; Eucoccidiorida; Cryptosporidiidae. The record is from RNAcentral.
AAGUCUGGUGCCAGCAGCCGCGGUAAUUCCAGCUCCAAUAGCGUAUAUUAAAGUUGUUGCAGUUAAAAAGCUCGUAGUUGGAUUUCUGUUAAUAAUUUAUAUAUAAUAUUUUUAAUAUAUUUAUAUAAUAUUAACAUAAUUCAUAUUACUAUUUUUAGUAUAUGAAAUUUUACUUUGAGAAAAUUAGAGUGCUUAAAGCAGGCAUAUGCCUUGAAUACUCCAGCAUGGAAUAAUAUAAAAGAUUUUUAUCUUUUUUAUUGGUUCUAAGAUAAAAAUAAUGAUUAAUAGGGACAGUUGGGGGCAUUUGUAUUUAACAGUCAGAGGUGAAAUUCUUAGAUUUGUUAAAGACAAACUAGUGCGAAAGCAUUUGCCAAGGAUGUUUUCAUUAAUCAAGAACGAAAGUUAGGGGAUCGAAGACGAUCAGAUACCGUCGUAGUCUUAACCAUAAACUAUGCCAACUAGAGAUUGGAGGUUGUUCCUUACUCCUUCAGCACCUU